RNAcentral lists this ribosomal RNA (374 nucleotides) under uncultured organism. RNAcentral describes it as "partial 16S ribosomal RNA". It matches the Rfam family "Bacterial small subunit ribosomal RNA", at positions 527 to 896 of the family's 1533-position model. The record is from RNAcentral.
GGAGGGGGCAAGCGUUGUUCGGAAUUACUGGGCGUAAAGGGCACGUAGGCGGCCUGAUUAGUCAGGCGUGAAAUCCCAUGGCUCAACCAUGGAAUUGCGUUUGAUACUGCCAGGCUUGAGUAUGGGAGAGGAGAGUGGAAUUCCUAGUGUAGCGGUGAAAUGCGCAGAUAUUAGGAGGAACACCAGUGGCGAAGGCGACUCCCUGGCCCGAUACUGACGCUGAGGUGCGAAAGCGUGGGGGGAGCGAACGGGAUUAGAUACCCCGGUAGUCCACGCUGUAAACGAUGGGUACUAGGUGUAGGGGAGUAUGAAAUCUUCUGUGCCGAAGCUAACGCAUUAAGUACCCCCGCCUGGGGAGUACGAUCGCAAGAUUG